AACACCGUCGGAAAUGAUUUUCUGAUUGGUGUAGGCCAAAGCACACUUUCCAAAAUAAUCAAAAGAGUGGUGAAUGAAAUGGAAAGCAAGCUAUGUAGUAAAUUUAUUGAGUUUAAUCUCGAUAACUGCGACGAUUCAAAGCAAUUCUUUUUGCAAAAAUACAAAAUUCCUGGAGUAAUCGGCUGUAUAGACGGAACUCAUUUUGGUUUGCAAAAGCCACCAAAUGAGCAUAUGUUUUUUAAUAGAAAGGGGUUCCAUAGCCUUAAUUCCAUGAUUGUGAGUAAAUAUUUUUACUAAUAAAUGUUCAUUGUUUUUAAAAAUAUUUUUUUUUGUAGAUAUGUGAUCACAAAUACAGAAUUUUAGCAAUAAAUUCUAAGUAUGGAGGUGUUGCCCAUGAUUCUUUUGUAUGGAAACAGUCUGAGGAAAGAAUUCUUUUAGAACAAAAAUAUAGCUCCAAUUUACGAAAUUUUUGGCUUUUAGGUGAUUCUGGCUACCCGCUUGAGCCGUGGUUGCUAACCCCAUACCGAAGUCCUCAAGAAGGAUCAAUGGAGUCUCGUUUUAACGAUAUACAUUCUAAAGCCAGAUGCGUAGUAGAAAGGACCAUCGGCAUAUUAAAAGC
Molecule: long non-coding RNA, 619 nt
Organism: Lucilia sericata (common green bottle fly)
Lineage: Eukaryota; Metazoa; Arthropoda; Insecta; Diptera; Calliphoridae
Exons: 3
Source: RefSeq, a predicted model, not a curated record